UAAUCUAUUUUGAGAUAACCUCAUUUAAUUAUGACAAAAUUACACUUGUUUACUUAGAAUUAUCCGCUACUAUGUUAAACAAUAAUUUUUUAAAAUUUUAAUUGCAGU
Populus trichocarpa (black cottonwood) is the source of this 108-nucleotide non-coding RNA. The record is from Rfam. Lineage: Eukaryota; Viridiplantae; Streptophyta; Magnoliopsida; Malpighiales; Salicaceae.